This 253-nucleotide ribosomal RNA is filed under the name uncultured bacterium. Its description in RNAcentral is "partial 16S ribosomal RNA". It matches the Rfam family "Bacterial small subunit ribosomal RNA", at positions 524 to 776 of the family's 1533-position model. The record is from RNAcentral.
UACGAAGGGGGCUAGCGUUGUUCGGAAUUACUGGGCGUAAAGCGUAUGCAGGCGGAUCGUUAAGUCGGGGGUGAAAGCCCAGGGCUCAACCCUGGAAUUGCCUUCGAUACUGAAGAUCUCGAGACCGGAAGAGGUAAGUGGAACUGCGAGUGUAGAGGUGAAAUUCGUAGAUAUUCGCAAGAACACCAGUGGCGAAGGCGGCUUACUGGUCCGGUUCUGACGCUGAGGCGCGAAAGCGUGGGGAGCAAACAGG